RNAcentral lists this ribosomal RNA (497 nucleotides) under uncultured bacterium. Its description in RNAcentral is "partial 16S ribosomal RNA". It matches the Rfam family "Bacterial small subunit ribosomal RNA", at positions 28 to 507 of the family's 1533-position model. The record is from RNAcentral.
GAUGAACGCUGGCGGCGUGCCUAAUACAUGCAAGUCGAGCGAACGGACGAGAAGCUUGCUUCUCUGAUGUUAGCGGCGGACGGGUGAGUAACACGUGGAUAACCUACCUAUAAGACUGGGAUAACUUCGGGAAACCGGAGCUAAUACCGGAUAAUAUUUUGAACCGCAUGGUUCAAAAGUGAAAGACGGUCUUGCUGUCACUUAUAGAUGGAUCCGCGCUGCAUUAGCUAGUUGGUAAGGUAACGGCUUACCAAGGCAACGAUGCAUAGCCGACCUGAGAGGGGGAUCGGCCACACUGGAACUGAGACACGGUCCAGACUCCUACGGGAGGCAGCAGUAGGGAAUCUUCCGCAAUGGGCGAAAGCCUGACGGAGCAACGCCGCGUGAGUGAUGAAGGUCUUCGGAUCGUAAAACUCUGUUAUUAGGGAAGAACAUAUGUGGAAGUAACUGUGCACAUCUUGACGGUACCUAAUCAGAAAGCCACGGCUAACUACGUG